GGCAUGGAUUAGGCAUGCAAGUUCGUGCGAGAAGUUUGCCUUCGGGCGGACGGACAGCGGCGAAAGGGAGAGUAACGCGUGGAUACCUACCCCCAGAUCCGGGAUAGCCAGCCGAAAGGCGGGGUAAUACCGGAUAAUGUCUUCGGACCAAAGGUGUGAUUCCGUCCGGGGAUGGGUCCGCGUCCUAUUAGCUUGUUGGCGGGGUAAUGGCCCACCAAGGCUGUGAUGGGUACCGGGCGUUAGCGCGUGGCCCGGCUCACUGGGACUGAGACACUGCCCAGACACCUACGGGUGGCUGCAGUCGAGAAUCUUCGGCAAUGGGCGAAAGCCUGACCGAGCGACGCCGCGUGCGAGAUGAAGGCCUUCGGGUUGUAAAUCGCUGUCGGAGGGGAGGAAAUCUUGAAGGGUUCUCUCUUCAAGUUGACCUAUCCUCGGAGGAAGGACGGGCUAAGUUCGUGCCAGCAGCCGCGGUAAGACGAACCGUCCAAACGUUAUUCGGAAUUACUGGGCUUAAAGGGUGCGUAGGCGGCCGUUCAAGUCGGGUGUGAAAGCCCUCAGCUCAACUGAGGAACUGCGCCCGAUACUGUUCGGCUUGAGGAAGGCAGAGGUGAGCGGAACUUGCGGUGGAGCGGUGAAAUGCGUUGAUAUCGCAAGGAACACCAGUAGCGAAGGCGGCUCACUGGGCCUUUUCUGACGCUGAGGCACGAAAGCUAGGGUAGCGAAGAGGAUUAGAUACCCUCGUAGUCCUAGCUGUAAACGUUGAGCACUGGGUCGGAGAACCCUCCAUAGUUUUCCGGCCGUAGCGAAAGUGUUUAAGUGCUCCGCCUGGGGAGUAUGGUCCCAAGGCUGAAACUCAAAG
Molecule: ribosomal RNA, 859 nt
Filed under: uncultured Planctomycetaceae bacterium
Lineage: Bacteria; Pseudomonadati; Planctomycetota; Planctomycetia; Planctomycetales; Planctomycetaceae
Description: bacterial SSU rRNA
Rfam family: Bacterial small subunit ribosomal RNA
Source: RNAcentral